Molecule: unclassified non-coding RNA, 327 nt
Filed under: soil metagenome
Description: partial contains 5.8S ribosomal RNA, internal transcribed spacer 2, and large subunit ribosomal RNA
Rfam family: 5.8S ribosomal RNA (bases 1-120)
Source: RNAcentral
GAUGAAGAACGUAGCGAAAUGCGAUAAGUAAUGUGAAUUGCAGAAUUCAGUGAAUCAUCGAAUCUUUGAACGCACAUUGCGCCCCUUGGUAUUCCGAGGGGCAAGCCUGUUCGAGCGUCAUUAUCACCCCUCAAGCUUUGCUUGGUGUUGGGGCCUGCUGUAAUAGGCAGCCCUUAAAAUCAGUGGCGGUGCUUCAAGGCUCUAAGCGUAGUAAUUCUCCUCGCUAUAGUGUCUAGUGGUUGCCAGCCAGAACCCCCCAAUUUUCAUGAUUGACCUCGGAUCAGGUAGGGAUACCCGCUGAACUUAAGCAUAUCAAUAAGCGGAGGA